UACGUAGGGCGCGAGCGUUAUCCGGAAUUAUUGGGCGUAAAGAGCUCGUAGGCGGUUUGUCACGUCUGCUGUGAAAACUGGAGGCUCAACCUCCAGCCUGCAGUGGGUACGGGCAGACUAGAGUGCGGUAGGGGAGAUUGGAAUUCCUGGUGUAGCGGUGGAAUGCGCAGAUAUCAGGAGGAACACCGAUGGCGAAGGCAGAUCUCUGGGCCGUAACUGACGCUGAGGAGCGAAAGCGUGGGGAGCGAACAGG
This 253-nucleotide ribosomal RNA is filed under the name uncultured bacterium. RNAcentral describes it as "partial 16S ribosomal RNA". It matches the Rfam family "Bacterial small subunit ribosomal RNA", at positions 524 to 776 of the family's 1533-position model. The record is from RNAcentral.